This 399-nucleotide ribosomal RNA is filed under the name uncultured bacterium. RNAcentral describes it as "bacterial SSU rRNA". It matches the Rfam family "Bacterial small subunit ribosomal RNA", at positions 358 to 774 of the family's 1533-position model. The record is from RNAcentral.
GGAAUAUUGCACAAUGGGGGAAACACUGAUGCGGCGACGCCGCGUGAGUGAAGAAGUAUUUCGGUAUGUAAAGCUCUAUCAGCAGGAAAGAAAAUGACGGUACCUGUCUAAGCAGCCCCGGCUAACUACGUGCCAGCAGCCGCGGUAAUACGUAGGGGGCAAGCGUUAUCCGGAUUUACGGGGUGUAAAGGGAGCGUAGACGGUGAAGCAAGGCUGAAGUGAAAGUCGGGGGCUCAACCCCUGGACUGCUUUGGAAACUGUUUGACUGGAGUGCAGGAGAGGUAAGUGGAAUUCCUAGUGUAGCGGUGAAAUGCGUAGAUAUUAGGAGGAACACCAGUGGCGAAGGCGGCUUACUGGACUGUAACUGACGUUGAGGCUCGAAAGCGUGGGGAGCAAACA